Molecule: ribosomal RNA, 440 nt
Filed under: uncultured bacterium
Lineage: Bacteria
Description: partial 16S ribosomal RNA
Rfam family: Bacterial small subunit ribosomal RNA
Source: RNAcentral
CCUACGGGAGGCAGCAGUGGGGAAUAUUGCACAAUGGGGGAAACCCUGAUGCAGCGACGCCGCGUGAGUGAGGAAGUAUUUCGGUAUGUAAAGCUCUAUCAGCAGGGAAGAAAAUGACGGUACCUGACUAAGAAGCCCCGGCUAACUACGUGCCAGCAGCCGCGGGAAUACGUAGGGGGCAAGCGUUAUCCGGAUUUACUGGGUGUAAAGGGGGCGUAGGCGGUUAAUCAAGUCAGAAGUGAAAACCCAGGGCUCAACCUUGGGCAUGCUUUUGAAACUGAGUAGCUAGAGUGCAGGAGAGGUAAGCGGAAUUCCUAGUGUAGCGGUGAAAUGCGUAGAUAUUAGGAGGAACACCAGUGGCGAAGGCGGCUUACUGGACUGUAACUGACGUUGAGGCUCGAAAGCGUGGGGAGCAAACAGGAUUAGAUACCCUAGUAGUC